GACGAACGCUGGCGGCGUGCCUAACACAUGCAAGUCGUACGGGACCGGGGGCAACUCCGGUUCAGUGGCAGACGGGUGCGUAACACGUGAGGAACCCUGUCCGGUGGCGGGGGAUAGCCGGCCCAACGGCCGGGUAAUACCGCAUACGCUCGUUCGGGGGCAUCCCUGGGCGAGGAAAGCAGCCGCAAGGUUGCGCCGACGGAGGGCCUCGCGACCUAUCAGCUUGUUGGCGGGGUAACGGCCCACCAAGGCGACGACGGGUAGCUGGUCUGAGAGGAUGAUCAGCCACAUUGGGACUGAGACACGGCCCAGACUCCUACGGGAGGCAGCAGUGGGGAAUAUUGGGC
RNAcentral lists this ribosomal RNA (347 nucleotides) under uncultured bacterium. RNAcentral's name for it is "bacterial SSU rRNA". It matches the Rfam family "Bacterial small subunit ribosomal RNA", at positions 28 to 369 of the family's 1533-position model. The record is from RNAcentral.